AAUCAACGCUGGCGGCGUGCCUAACACAUGCAAGUCGAACGCGAGGACCCCGCAAGGGGUUAGUAGAGUGGCGAACGGGUGAGUAACACGUGGGUGACCUGCCCUCAGCUCUGGGAUAAGCCUGGGAAACUGGGUCUAAUACUGGAUAUGACUCCACGGUGCAUGUCGUGGGGUGGAAAGCCUUGUGCGGCUGAGGAUGGGCCCGCGGCCUAUCAGCUUGUUGGUGGGGNAUGGCCUACCAAGGCGACGACGGGUAGCCGGCCUGAGAGGGCGACCGGCCACACUGGGACUGAGACACGGCCCAGACUCCUACGGGAGGCAGCAGUGGGGAAUCUUGCGCAAUGGGCGAAAGCCUGACGCAGCGACGCCGCGUGAGGGAUGACGG
This 385-nucleotide ribosomal RNA is filed under the name uncultured bacterium. Its description in RNAcentral is "bacterial SSU rRNA". It matches the Rfam family "Bacterial small subunit ribosomal RNA", at positions 28 to 414 of the family's 1533-position model. The record is from RNAcentral.